GACGAACGCUGGCGGCGUGCUUAACACAUGCAAGUCGAACGGAAAGGCCCUGCUUUUGUGGGGUGCUCGAGUGGCGAACGGGUGAGUAACACGUGAGUAACCUGCCCUUGACUUUGGGAUAACUUCAGGAAACUGGGGCUAAUACCGGAUAGGAGCUCCUGCUGCAUGGUGGGGGUUGGAAAGUUUCGGCGGUUGGGGAUGGACUCGCGGCUUAUCAGCUUGUUGGUGGGGUAGUGGCUUACCAAGGCUUUGACGGGUAGCCGGCCUGAGAGGGUGACCGGCCACAUUGGGACUGAGAUACGGCCCAGACUCCUACGGGAGGCAGCAGUGGGGAAUAUUGCCCAAUGGGCGGAAGCCUGAUGCAGCAACGCCGCGUGCGGGAUGACGGCCUUCGGGUUGUAAGCCGCUUUCGCCUGUGACGAAGCGUGAGUGACGGUAAUGGGUAAAGAAGCACCGGCUAACUACGUG
RNAcentral lists this ribosomal RNA (468 nucleotides) under uncultured bacterium. Its description in RNAcentral is "partial 16S ribosomal RNA". It matches the Rfam family "Bacterial small subunit ribosomal RNA", at positions 28 to 507 of the family's 1533-position model. The record is from RNAcentral.